UUGAGGGGCCGUUUGAUUCGACGUAGUUAUAAAUACAGUAUAUUUAAAAAUAUAUGUAGUUGGAAAUAUCGUAAUUAUAAUUAUAUGUAUUUUGUUUGGUUGGAUGUAGCAGAAAGUGCUACAGUUAUAAAUAUUUAUGUUGAAAAUUUUAUCAUUUUAUGUGUAGGAUGAUAAGAUUGGCUCUUAUGUAGGAAAACAACUUUUUUUCUAAAAAAAAGGUUAUUAGAAAAAUAAAUUUAUUUUGGUUUAAAAUUACUCUCUUCAAAUAUUGUGCGCGGCAGCGGCACAGUAUCAACUGUUGCAGCA
This 306-nucleotide long non-coding RNA is filed under the name Ananas comosus (pineapple). RNAcentral describes it as "long non-coding RNA (ACOM_LNC011804)". The record is from RNAcentral. Lineage: Eukaryota; Viridiplantae; Streptophyta; Magnoliopsida; Poales; Bromeliaceae.